AGCGGAUGAAGGGAGCUUGCUCCUGAAUUCAGCGGCGGACGGGUGAGUAAUGCCUAGGAAUCUGCCUGGUAGUGGGGGAUAACGUCCGGAAACGGGCGCUAAUACCGCAUACGUCCUGAGGGAGAAAGUGGGGGAUCUUCGGACCUCACGCUAUCAGAUGAGCCUAGGUCGGAUUAGCUAGUUGGUGGGGUAAAGGCCUACCAAGGCGACGAUCCGUAACUGGUCUGAGAGGAUGAUCAGUCACACUGGAACUGAGACACGGUCCAGACUCCUACGGGAGGCAGCAGUGGGGAAUAUUGGACAAUGGGCGAAAGCCUGAUCCAGCCAUGCCGCGUGUGUGAAGAAGGUCUUCGGAUUGUAAAGCACUUUAAGUUGGGAGGAAGGGCAGUAAGUUAAUACCUUGCUGUUUUGACGUUACCAACAGAAUAAGCACCGGCUAACUUCGUGCCAGCAGCCGCGGUAAUACGAAGGGUGCAAGCGUUAAUCGGAAUUACUGGGCGUAAAGCGCGCGUAGGUGGUUCAGCAAGUUGGAUGUGAAAUCCCCGGGCUCAACCUGGGAACUGCAUCCAAA
Molecule: ribosomal RNA, 571 nt
Filed under: Pseudomonas aeruginosa
Lineage: Bacteria; Pseudomonadati; Pseudomonadota; Gammaproteobacteria; Pseudomonadales; Pseudomonadaceae
Description: bacterial SSU rRNA
Rfam family: Bacterial small subunit ribosomal RNA
Source: RNAcentral